This 379-nucleotide ribosomal RNA is filed under the name uncultured cyanobacterium. Its description in RNAcentral is "bacterial SSU rRNA". It matches the Rfam family "Bacterial small subunit ribosomal RNA", at positions 376 to 770 of the family's 1533-position model. The record is from RNAcentral. Lineage: Bacteria; Bacillati; Cyanobacteriota.
CGAAAGCCUGACGGAGCAAUACCGCGUGAGGGAGGAAGGCUUUUGGGUUGUAAACCUCUUUUCUCAGGGAAGAAGAUCUGACGGUACCUGAGGAAUCAGCAUCGGCUAACUCCGUGCCAGCAGCCGCGGUAAUACGGAGGAUGCAAGCGUUAUCCGGAAUCAUUGGGCGUAAAGCGUCCGCAGGUGGCUUGACAAGUCUGCUGUUAAAGACAGUAGCUCAACUACUGAAAGGCGGUGGAAACUGUCAAGCUAGAGUACGGUAGGGGUAGAGGGAAUUCCCAGUGUAGCGGUGAAAUGCGUAGAUAUUGGGAAGAACACCGGUGGCGAAGGCGCUCUACUGGGCCGUAACUGACACUCAGGGACGAAAGCUAGGGUAGCG